GUGUGUGUGUGUGUGUGUGUGUGUGUGUGUGUGUGUGUGUGUGUGUGUGUGUGUGUGUGAGAGAGUGUGUGUGUGUGUGACGUGAGUGGAUACAAAUUUACAUUCAGGUUUGCCUAGGGGACUGAGUGGGCAGGUGACCUGGAUUUCCCAUCAUAAGACACUCAUCCCCAGGAAGUAGGAAGGGAAGCUGCUGCAGAGAUACCCGUCGCUGAUCAUCGGCACGGUGACACACUGUAACCGCUCCAAACGCACCGCUCUCUGGCAUCCUGUGAGGCCGCGCCACUGCUGUGUGCGGAUGUCAGAGAGGUCGUGGGUCGGCAGCGGAGUGUGGGACGGGGGGCUUCCGGAACAUGUGGAAGCUUAAAGGGAGACCAGCCAGCACCCUGACCCCCACCCCCGCCCGACGAUCAGUCAACAUGGCACUCGCUGGGCCUCGAAAACCUCACGUCUGCAUUCCUUCCAUCCUCGGGCUCCCUCUGACAGCAGCUCGAGGGGCGAACACGACACUGCAGGCAAACCGCCGCUGUCAGUCCUAAUACGAGGUGUCACAGGCAUCGAUGACAGUGAGACAACAGUCCUCCUCCCUGAGCCCUGAUUCACCUGCACAUCUAAUGUUGAUGCAUGGUUUCAAAGGGACCACAGAACAAAUCAGAGGCCCAUUCCUGAGCACCGAUGGCCUGUCUCUCAUUUCGGAUGGAGAUUGAAGGGCAUGUCUACCCCGGGGCGUCAGCGGGGAUCAGGGGGCCUCAGUAGCACCCGCCGCCCCAGGGGCCUCCGUGUCUCCACUGCGUGGGAGCCGGACCGUGACACACACUAAACGUCGAGCCCACCGCAGUGCGCCUGUGCCCCGCGAGCCGCCGCUUGGCGCGCACAGUCCUCGGAAAAGCCCUGGAAGCCUCGCCUGCGUCCCUUGUUGGCUCAAGGUUGUGUGUGAGCGCAGUGUGUGUUUGGGGUUUUGCGUCCUCCAAAAAGAUGGGACAGUGACGGGCUCUUAACGUGUGUUGGGUUGAGCGCCGGGGCUUGCGUUGAUGGAAGUCGGAUGCUUCCCGGUGUUGUUUUGAGGUGCUUUGGGUUUGUUUGUCAUAGCUUAGUGUUAAGUGUCUCUUAAGACACUUCAAUUUAGAGAUUGUUCUGUGCGCCGAGGCUCUGAAGUGGUAUCACGGGUCAGCUCGUCUGGCUUUCCUGGCACAGGAUGUGUGGGACUUUUGGAUCUGUGGAAACAACAGAGGGCAACAGCAGAUCAAUUCCAGGUUGAGGGGCGCAUACUGUAUCUGGGCAAGACGCGGCUCCAAUCCUCCUGCAUGUCUGUCUCUAGCUCUGGUCUCUUCGAGGCCUCCAUUAAGCUCCCUCAGCUUUCAUGAGACACGGCGAUACCCAUCGGGAAGUGCAUGACAGCAUGUGGACCUGAGUGACAUUUGAUGGAUGCGGCAGGAGUGAGUGCAGCUCCUCUUCGUGUCUCCCAUUCAUGUGGCGAGGGCAGGAUUAGGACUUGAUCCAAUGGAGCAGAGGAGGAGGAGAGCGAGCUCGGGUCAGAUCUGCCUUGAAUUAAGUCAGUGUUGCAGCAGGAAUAAUACAAUCACCUCCCCCAAAACCCUAUAAUAGUACUGAGGAGUAACGUAUGUGUGCGCGUGUGUGCGCGCGUGUGUGUGUGUGUUUGUGUGCGCGCGCGCUGAGCUCGGCCUGCGCCGAGGCUGCGACCAAACCACAGGGUGGUGUCCUUUACAGAGAAGAGGGGUCUCUGUUGACGGUUCAAACACAGCCCUCGGCCCCAGCUUCAAAAGGCCCCCAAUCAUCGCACCCACUUACAGCCAACGGCGCAUGUCACUUAAUGGGGACCACACUAUUCAUCAAUUAUGGUGAGCUCAGGGGCCAUCCAACACCAGCACCACAGCUCCACAAGCAGUAAGUUGUCUUCUUCUCUGACUGAAGCCCCCCACCCCCACACACCCCUUUUUUUCUAAGACUCCUUUAAGCCCAUCUGUUGCAGGAGGUGUGGUGUGGGAACCACUAACUCCUCGGAGCUGUCACACGUUUACAGAACUCCGGCUCUCCCGCUUCUUUCGUGCCAUGUUAUCUCGCCCACAACUCCAAGAACUCCUCAUCCUCUUGUAAAUGUGGACUCCUUACUGUAAGCCUAAUAUUAGCCGCCCUCUUCCCCCCUCUGUAAUAUAAUUGCCACCCUUGUCCAUCCGCACCCCUCCACUCAUCCCACAGUACAGGCUAAUCCUUGCGUCUGUAAAAUACAUUCAAGUCCACGACAUUAUCCUCCUGUUUAUGUCUCCCUUUAAAAAAAAACAACAACUUGAGCUCAUUUGAUGUCAUCUGAUUUCCGACAUGUCCCUGGCUUAUUGGCUCAGCCCAAAAUGGCCAUUUGGUAUUUAAGUGACAGAACGCAUGUGUAGGUUGGACGCAAAUGCGGUGACCAUGUUUGGAAUUCCCCUAACAAACACACGACGAACCAAACAGAGGACGGAAAGGCGCGCAAACCCUGAACCAGAACCCACAACAUCGCCCAGGUUUCACUGCUCCUCCUCCUCCUCCUCCUCCUCUCCAGUCCCAGUCCAUGGGAGGACUUCCUCCAUCAUAUCAGGACAGAGCCCAGGUGACUGUCAUGCUGGCUGGUCCAGCUGCUGGUACAGUGCGUGUCCACCAGGGGCGUAAACCUCAGCAGCUGUGUGCCAUUUUGUAUUCAUGUUGUCCGGGGGCUUCUUUCCUGUUGUACUUUUUUCCCCUCGUCUGUCCUAACACCUUGUUCCAUGUGGUGGAGAUGUGGCUCUGGUCAGAUUGUGGACGCGAGCUACUUCCUGUCAGCUGCAGUGCUUCGGUAUUUGAAUUUGAAUUUCAUCUGUGACACGGCAGAUAAUACACACCUUCUCUUAUUAAUGUCAUUCUGUGUGUGUGUGUGUGUGUGUGUGUGUGUAAAUAUUUAAGUUCAUCUUCAGUGUUAUGUGGAGAUACUGUAGUGAUUCCCAGCACUUGACCAAUUGCCAGGAUAAGUAAAAAAAAAUUGAAAUAGCUAAAAAAUAAUGGAUAAAAGUGGUGGAAACAAAUCAAUCAAAAAAAUCUGAAUAAUUGGCUAAAAAUCUAUAACUGUCACUGAACAGAAUGAAUUUAACCAACCUAAACAUAGAAGUUCAAUUUUAUGAAAAGUUUUAUACACUUAUGGGCUUAAAUGAUAUCACUGAAUGAUCCAGAAGUCAAAUGAAACCAUUUGAAACAUGAUGAUGUUGAUAAAUGUAUACUUGAGUUUGGGUCUGUUGGGCUUUGUCCGAAAGA
RNA transcript from Scophthalmus maximus (turbot), 3276 nucleotides. It is a transcript of the gene named forkhead box D7, with no coding region annotated. Lineage: Eukaryota; Metazoa; Chordata; Actinopteri; Pleuronectiformes; Scophthalmidae. The transcript has 5 exons. The record is from RefSeq and is a predicted model, not a curated record.